UCCUAGUUGACGCUGGCGGCAGGCCUAACACAUGCAAGUCGAGCGGUAGAGAGAAGCUUGCUUCUCUUGAGAGCGGCGGACGGGUGAGUAAUGCCUAGGAAUCUGCCUGGUAGUGGGGGAUAACGUUCGGAAACGGACGCUAAUACCGCAUACGUCCUACGGGAGAAAGCAGGGGACCUUCGGGCCUUGCGCUAUCAGAUGAGCCUAGGUCGGAUUAGCUAGUUGGUGAGGUAAUGGCUCACCAAGGCGACGAUCCGUAACUGGUCUGAGAGGAUGAUCAGUCACACUGGAACUGAGACACGGUCCAGACUCCUACGGGAGGCAGCAGUGGGGAAUAUUGGACAAUGGGCGAAAGCCUGAUCCAGCCAUGCCGCGUGUGUGAAGAAGGUCUUCGGAUUGUAAAGCACUUUAAGUUGGGAGGAAGGGUUGUAGAUUAAUACUCUGCAAUUUUGACGUUACCGACAGAAUAAGCACCGGCUAACUCUGUGCCAGCAGCCGCGGUAAUACAGAGGGUGCAAGCGUUAAUCGGAAUUACUGGGCGUAAAGCGCGCGUAGGUGGUUUGUUAAGUUGGAUGUGAAAUCCCCGGGCUCAACCUGGGAACUGCAUUCAAAACUGACUGACUAGAGUAUGGUAGAGGGUGGUGGAAUUUCCUGUGUAGCGGUGAAAUGCGUAGAUAUAGGAAGGAACACCAGUGGCGAAGGCGACCACCUGGACUAAUACUGACACUGAGGUGCGAAAGCGUGGGGAGCAAACAGGAUUAGAUACCCUGGUAGUCCACGCCGUAAACGAUGUCAACUAGCCGUUGGAAGCCUUGAGCUUUUAGUGGCGCAAGCUAACGCAUUAAAGUGACCUCC
RNAcentral lists this ribosomal RNA (855 nucleotides) under Pseudomonas azotoformans. RNAcentral describes it as "bacterial SSU rRNA". It matches the Rfam family "Bacterial small subunit ribosomal RNA", at positions 24 to 873 of the family's 1533-position model. Lineage: Bacteria; Pseudomonadati; Pseudomonadota; Gammaproteobacteria; Pseudomonadales; Pseudomonadaceae. The record is from RNAcentral.